RNAcentral lists this ribosomal RNA (457 nucleotides) under uncultured soil bacterium. Its description in RNAcentral is "bacterial SSU rRNA". It matches the Rfam family "Bacterial small subunit ribosomal RNA", at positions 61 to 519 of the family's 1533-position model. The record is from RNAcentral.
GUCGAACGGUAGAGUAGCAAUACUCGAGAGUGGCGAACGGGUGAGUAAUAUAUCGGAACGUGCCCAGUCGUGGGGGAUAACGUAGAGAAAUUUACGCUAAUACCGCAUACGAUCUAAGGAUGAAAGCGGGGGAUCGCAAGACCUCGCGCGACUGGAGCGGCUGAUAUCAGAUUAGGUUGUUGGUGAGGUAAAAGCUCACCAAGCCGACGAUCUGUAGCUGGUUUGAGAGAACGACCAGCCACACUGGGACUGAGACACGGCCCAGACUCCUACGGGAGGCAGCAGUGGGGAAUUUUGGACAAUGGGCGAAAGCCUGAUCCAGCAAUGCCGCGUGCAGGAAGAAGGCCUUCGGGUUGUAAACUGCUUUUGUACGGAACGAAACGGCUCUUUCUAAUAAAGAGGGCUAAUGACGGUACCGUAAGAAUAAGCACCGGCUAACUACGUGCCAGCAGCCGCG